RNAcentral lists this long non-coding RNA (751 nucleotides) under Gossypium raimondii (Peruvian cotton). Its description in RNAcentral is "long non-coding RNA (GRAI_LNC008585)". The record is from RNAcentral. Lineage: Eukaryota; Viridiplantae; Streptophyta; Magnoliopsida; Malvales; Malvaceae.
CCAACUAACUCUUGCCUAUUGUUCCCAAAACAAAUCUAUGUUAUCUGCUUCCAUAUUUAAAGCCACCUUGACCUCCGUAAUUUUUUCCAGUCUCCUCAUUUGGAACUUUCUUAUUCAAUUCACUCAGCCUAGAAUUCAAAUUUACCUUCUUACGAUUUUGAUCUACCUGACUUGUUUUGGCCUACCUACUCAGCGCAUCUCCUAGAUCAUCAAGCUUUGUUGGAAGCUCCUUUCCAUUCGACUCCCAACAUCUUUUUAAUUAAUCCUCAAAUCCCUUUUCCAACAUCCAAUCCACAUUAAAUCAAAAUUGAAAAUAUCUCAAUAUUGGGUUAACCCUCCUACAUCCAACUGUAUCAACUAAAAUCGGACAAUAAUAUAAAAAACCAUGUUGAAAAUGAUUCAUUGAAUACCCCGAAAAAGAUCCCACCAUGUCAAAUCAACUACUUACUCUCUAGCCUUCCCCUUAUGUUAUUUUUGGUAACCUUCCCCUUUGCCAAGUAAACCACUGUCUAGAGAAACCCAAAUCACUCAGGUUACACUCCUCCAGUACUUCUUGAAAAGCAAACAUUUGUCUCUCUUCAUGGAAAUGCCCCCUUUUUCUUAAAAGAAAACAUCACCUCAUUAAAACCCCAAUACUAGCCAAGAAAAAUGACUACUACUUCUCACUACCGUAGAACAUUCCAUGACUCAUUUCUUAAAUGCUCCAUAAGGGAACCAUAGAACCCAGUAAACCUCUAAAGAGCUACUCCUC